Non-coding RNA from Misgurnus anguillicaudatus (oriental weatherfish), 1159 nucleotides. Lineage: Eukaryota; Metazoa; Chordata; Actinopteri; Cypriniformes; Cobitidae. The record is from RefSeq and is a predicted model, not a curated record.
GCUGCCUACGUCAUCAAGCUUAGUUUAUUUCAGUUAAACAUUAAUUAAGUUUGCAAGUCAUAAACAUAUUACAACAAUUUACGAUAAACUAAGUAUAACAGUACAUUUUAUAAUUGUUAAUAUUCUGAAACAAUACAGUCUUUAUGACGUAUGCAGCCUGCAAAUGCGACCUCCGAAGGAUGCAGUCUUCCGUUUGAGAAACGAGGACUUCGACGUGGCGUUUAUCGGAUUCUGCAAACAAUGGCACGAGGCCGGGAUUAAGCAGAUUUGAAGCGAAAGUAGCCUAUUUGCUAUAAUACAUACUAGAGCAUUCGGUCAAUAGGCCUGUCAUCAUCUCAUUUUGACGGAGGUGACUACACUACAAUCAAAAGUUCUUUCAUGUGUUGGUGUGUGCUGUGAAGUCUGAUGGGGGACAUGUGCUAGCGUGAAUAGGUCAUGACCGGGAAGGUCAUCAUUAUGCUGCGUGGGGUGAUGCUGUCUGUCCUAAGCUUUCACACUUAACCCUCAAUACACAGGGGCUGUUAACUCCUCAGCACAUACAGACCAAGGUCAUGUUCAGAUAUUAAGAUGAUUAUGACUGGAACAGACAGCUUUGGAAUCCAGAAGAGCAUGAGACCUUCAUGCGGGGAUGAGCCACCUCCGAGAUCAAUGUCUGCAUUUUGUUGAUCAAGGACUGCAGAUCCACCAUGCAAGAUGCAUUUUGUUUGCUAAAUAAUUAUCUGAAGUCUCUAUUCAUUUGCAGAUUUUUCACACAAAAACAGAACGCAUGAUAAUGACGUUGUAUGGUUGAAUAACGUUUCUAGUCUUUAUUUGGCACAAUUGGUGAUUAAUGCAGCAUGAUCGCUUCUGGUGUUUCUCCAUUUUUGGAUUGAUUCUUUGUCGCUUAUUUGUUUAAAAUGCCAUUUACCACUAAACAGAGUGCAAAAGAGUUCAUUAAAUAUUUCUGACUCUACAAACUUCUGGAAAAUAUCUGUAUUCAUACAAAGGCCAUGAAGCUCAUAUUAUUUAAUUUCCAAAAUUAACUUCUUUACCAUGGGUUACAUUUAGUUUUUAUAUAUCAGUAACUCUGCAAAUAACUUCACAUUACUACUUUACAUUAUGUUUGUGCUUUUAGCUCAAUUAAAAACAAAUACUUAAAAAUAUACCGCCUUUAUGCGUU